CGGGUCGCCCAUGACCCAUGACCCGCGACCCGGUUCGUUUCCUUAAAGUCCAAUUCUUUUUUUUUUUUUUUUUGCUUUCUGCACACCCCUGUUUACUACUGCACCCCACCUUGUGUUUGGACCAUUUUUUUUAUUUUUCCUUAUUCCUUUUCGUAUUUGUUUAUUUAUUUUUAGCAUUUUAAUUUUUAUUGCAGACCUUAGAAUGUAAAUAGGUUUUUUUGUAAUAGUCAUAGAUUUUAUAUUUCUAACUUAGGGUAGCCGCGCUUUUAUUCUUUAUGCUCCGUUAGUUUAUAUAUUUAUUCAAAAAUCACAAAAACAUGCAAAUAACCAAAAAUCACAA
RNAcentral lists this long non-coding RNA (340 nucleotides) under Medicago truncatula (barrel medic). RNAcentral describes it as "long non-coding RNA (MTRU_LNC003110)". The record is from RNAcentral. Lineage: Eukaryota; Viridiplantae; Streptophyta; Magnoliopsida; Fabales; Fabaceae.